CCUACGGGGGGCUGCAGUGGGGAAUAUUGGGCAAUGGAGGAAACUCUGACCCAGCAACGCCGCGUGAAUGAUGAAGGUCUUCGGAUUGUAAAGUUCUUUUCUAAGGGAAGAAGAAAGUGACGGUACCUUAGGAAUAAGCCUCGGCUAACUACGUGCCAGCAGCCGCGGUAAUACGUAGGAGGCGAGUGUUAUCCGGAAUGACUGGGCGUAAAGGGUGCGUAGGUGGUUUGGCAAGUUAGUAGCGUAACUCCAAGGCUCAACCUUGGAACUACUACUAAAACUGUUGGACUUGAGUGCAGGAGGGGCAACCGGAAUUCCUAGUGUAGCGGUGGAAUGCGUAGAUAUUAGGAGGAACACCAGUGGCGAAGGCGAGUUGCUGGACUGUAACUGACACUGAGGCACGAAAGCGUGGGGAGCAAACAGGAUUAGAUACCCGAGUAGUC
Molecule: ribosomal RNA, 443 nt
Filed under: uncultured bacterium
Lineage: Bacteria
Description: partial 16S ribosomal RNA
Rfam family: Bacterial small subunit ribosomal RNA
Source: RNAcentral